RNAcentral lists this ribosomal RNA (640 nucleotides) under Rothia kristinae. RNAcentral describes it as "bacterial SSU rRNA". It matches the Rfam family "Bacterial small subunit ribosomal RNA", at positions 154 to 789 of the family's 1533-position model. Lineage: Bacteria; Bacillati; Actinomycetota; Actinomycetes; Micrococcales; Micrococcaceae. The record is from RNAcentral.
AAACUGGGUCUAAUACCGGAUGCAACUACUGCCCGCAUGGGCUGGUGGUGGAAAGGGUUAUGUACUGGUCUUAGAUGGGCUCACGGCCUAUCAGCUGGUUGGUGGGGUAAUGGCCUACCAAGGCGACGACGGGUAGCCGGCCUGAGAGGGUGACCGGCCACACUGGGACUGAGACACGGCCCAGACUCCUACGGGAGGCAGCAGUGGGGAAUAUUGCACAAUGGGCGCAAGCCUGAUGCAGCGACGCCGCGUGAGGGAUGACGGCCUUCGGGUUGUAAACCUCUUUCAGCAGGGAAGAAGCGGAAGUGACGGUACCUGCAGAAGAAGCGCCGGCUAACUACGUGCCAGCAAGCCGCGGUAAUACGUAGGGCGCAAGCGUUGUCCGGAAUUAUUGGGCGUAAAGAGCUCGUAGGCGGCUUGUCGCGUCUGCUGUUGAAAGCCCGGGGCUUAACUCCGGGGUGUGCAGUGGGUACGGGGCAGGCUAGAGUGCAGUAGGGGUUAACUGGAAAUUCCCUGGUGUAGCGGUGAAAUGCGCAGAUAAUCAGGAGGAACACCGAUGGCGAAGGCCAGGUUACUUGGGCUGUUACUGACGCUUGAAGAGCGAAAGCAUGGGGGAGCGAACAGGAAUUAGAUACCCCUG